Molecule: ribosomal RNA, 218 nt
Filed under: uncultured bacterium
Lineage: Bacteria
Description: partial 16S ribosomal RNA
Rfam family: Bacterial small subunit ribosomal RNA
Source: RNAcentral
UAGUCUCAGUUCAGAUUGUAGGCUGCAACUCGCCUACAUGAAGUCGGAAUUGCUAGUAAUCGCGGAUCAGCAUGCCGCGGUGAAUACGUUCCCGGGCCUUGUACACACCGCCCGUCACACCAUGAGAGCCGGUAACACCCGAAGUCAGUAGCCUAACCGCAAGGGGGGCGCUGCCGAAGGUGGGAUUGGUAAUUGGGGUGAAGUCGUAACAAGGUAUC